UACGUAGGGCGCAAGCGUUAUCCGGAAUUAUUGGGCGUAAAGGGCUCGUAGGCGGUUUGUCGCGUCUGCCGUGAAAGUCCGGGGCUCAACUCCGGAUCUGCGGUGGGUACGGGCAGACUAGAGUGAUGUAGGGGAGACUGGAAUUCCUGGUGUAGCGGUGAAAUGCGCAGAUAUCAGGAGGAACACCGAUGGCGAAGGCAGGUCUCUGGGCAUUAACUGACGCUGAGGUGCGAAAGCCAGGGGAGCGAACGGG
RNAcentral lists this ribosomal RNA (253 nucleotides) under uncultured bacterium. RNAcentral describes it as "partial 16S ribosomal RNA". It matches the Rfam family "Bacterial small subunit ribosomal RNA", at positions 524 to 776 of the family's 1533-position model. The record is from RNAcentral.